CGGGCUUGUGCGGCAGUUCAUGUCGGGCUAACCGGUCGGCAGUCCAACACCAAUCUAGGAGUGCGAGCCAAAGGAAGAUUUUGCUAUGAAUUGGUUGGACUUAAGAGGAGUAGUUCAUGUUUGGUUCAACAAAAGCAGACUAGAUGUUGAGGGGAAAAAUGCAUGCAGGAAAUCAUAUGCGGAUGCUCGGGUAAGGCGAAGAAUACAAACACCAGAUCAUGCAGGUGUGAAUGUCCCGCCAGGAUACAGCUGCAGCAUUCAGACCAGUAUGGCCAGUACACUAGUGAACACAUGCCGGGCCAUAAUCACACUCUUACCGACAAGUGUUGCGAGAAGAUGCACAUUGACGUGUAUGCAUAGAACCUCAUACGGCAGUUGUGCGACAACAAUGUAAGUAUUGGGAAGUUGGGCCAAUAUAAUAGUGAGUUUCUUCGGUUUGAUGAAGAAUAUCCCAUUCAGCAAGAGGGCGCUCAUAGUGCUAUGUGGCCAGAUAAGUCGGCCAAGCAGUCAGCACGAUGUCAUCAGGAAAAUAAUGGAGGUUUUUGCCGAACUUGGGCAAAAGACCAAGGUUUGUAUUACAUGGUCCAACCAGAGUCGGAGAGCCGGAUCAGGAACAAGCUGAUAUAUCUACAUGAUCGAGCUGAAUGCAGUACAACUUUUUCAGGGAUGCAAUAGCAGUUGACACAACAUUACCAAACAAACUUUUAUGACAUGUUGUUCAGAUAGUUUGUCGGUGUGAUUCCAAAGCACAAUUUGUUCCGGCAGGGGUGAGAUUCCAAAGAAGCCAAGAAAGGAGGCAAGACAUACGAAAUGGAGUCGGUCAGCACCGGAGUGGCAACCCUAGUGUGGUUCGUUACAAAGUGCCGACGGCGGACGGCAUUUCAGAAGGGAGGCUUAGAUAUAGGCAUCUAGAGUGUUUGUGAUUUUCCCCAUUAAUUCCGCUUCGGAAAUAAAACUCCCAAUAAUUUUUUCCUUUGUCUGUGUUUACUAUUUUUUCCGUCAUUGUGAUGUGGUGAUGCUGUAACUUAAUA
This is a long non-coding RNA of Triticum aestivum (bread wheat), 1031 nucleotides long. RefSeq lists it as uncharacterized. The record is from RefSeq and is a predicted model, not a curated record. Lineage: Eukaryota; Viridiplantae; Streptophyta; Magnoliopsida; Poales; Poaceae. The transcript has 3 exons.